UACGUAGGGUGCAAGCGUUAAUCGGAAUUACUGGGCGUAAAGCGUGCGCAGGCGGUUUUGUAAGGCUGUCGUGGAAUCCCCGGGCUCAACCUGGGAAUGGCGAUGGUGACUGCAAGGCUAGAGUUUGGCAGAGGGGGGUAGAAUUCCACGUGUAGCAGUGAAAUGCGUAGAUAUGUGGAGGAACACCGAUGGCGAAGGCAGCCCCCUGGGUCAAAACUGACGCUCAUGCACGAAAGCGUGGGGAGCAAACAGG
This 253-nucleotide ribosomal RNA is filed under the name uncultured bacterium. RNAcentral describes it as "partial 16S ribosomal RNA". It matches the Rfam family "Bacterial small subunit ribosomal RNA", at positions 524 to 776 of the family's 1533-position model. The record is from RNAcentral.